Molecule: ribosomal RNA, 749 nt
Filed under: Staphylococcus sp.
Lineage: Bacteria; Bacillati; Bacillota; Bacilli; Caryophanales; Staphylococcaceae
Description: bacterial SSU rRNA
Source: RNAcentral
UGCAAGUCGAGCGAACAGAUAAGGAGCUUGCUCCUUUGACGUUAGCGGCGGACGGGUGAGUAACACGUGGGUAACYUACCUAUAAGACUGGAAUAACUCCGGGAAACCGGKGCUAAUGCCGGAUAACAUGUUGAACCGCAUGGUUCUACAGUGAAAGGCGGCUUUGCUGUCACUUAUAGAUGGACCCGCGCCGUAUUAGCUAGUUGGUGAGGUAACGGCUCACCAAGGCAACGAUACGUAGCCGACCUGAGAGGGUGAUCGGCCACACUGGAACUGAGACACGGUCCAGACUCCUACGGGAGGCAGCAGUAGGGAAUCUUCCGCAAUGGGCGAAAGCCUGACGGAGCAACGCCGCGUGAGUGAUGAAGGUCUUCGGAUCGUAAAACUCUGUUAUUAGGGAAGAACAAAUGCGUAAGUAACUGUGCGCGUCUUGACGGUACCUAAUCAGAAAGCCACGGCUAACUACGUGCCAGCAGCCGCGGUAAUACGUAGGUGGCAAGCGUUAUCCGGAAUUAUUGGGCGUAAAGCGCGCGUAGGCGGUUUUUUAAGUCUGAUGUGAAAGCCCACGGCUCAACCGUGGAGGGUCAUUGGAAACUGAAAAACUUGAGUGCAGAAGAGGAAAGUGGAAUUCCAUGUGUAGCGGUGAAAUGCGCAGAGAUAUGGAGGAACACCAGUGGCGAAGGCGACUUUCUGGUCUGUAACUGACGCUGAUGUGCGAAAGCGUGGGGAUCAAACAGGAUUAGAUACCC